AAUUUUCCCGACCGUCCAAUUAAAAACCGGAGGAUCGAGAUUAACCUAAACCUAGACCACUAGCUAUAUAUUUGGACCCUAGUCUAGAUCAUACCUAAUCCCUAAAAAUCCUCCAUCUUCUCCCGUAGCCGCCGCCACCCACCUCGUUUUCUCAUCUUGCCAACCAAGUGCGGCCUCCUCCUUCCUCAUGUUCUAUCCAGGGCAGCCCCGCGCAGCCACAUGCCCCGUCAUUGACCUCCAUGGCGAGCUCGAAGCCCCCGCAUCACCUCCAAUAGGACCGUCGCGUCCCUCUCCUCUGAUUCCUCCCAUUUUCCCUUCCUCCUAUCUCUCCCUCACCUUGCAGUCUUUCUCUCUUGCUGGAGGACCAUCAGGAGCUUUGCCUAGCUCCAUGGAUGGUCGCCGCCGUGAGUGUCGCGAGGGACCUCCUUGUCGGCGGUAUCUGACAAGUCUCCGUCGCCUUGCUUCGUUCCUCCCUUGUGUAGAGCCUCUCGAUGUCGCCCCGUGAGCCGCUCGCUGCUCCCGAUCUAUAGUAGGAGACCCGUGCUCCUCUGGGUUGCCUCGUUGUCCGGCGACUGGCGCCACCGCCGGCAGCCAUGAGAGCAGCCACCAGACCGGUUCCCUCGAACCUGCCAUGGCUGCAAGAGGAGCAAGCUCUGCCGCUGUGUGCUGCAUGCCCGGCCAGGAAUCGGACGAGGCCAAGCACCGCCGCCGGAUCCCGUUGCCUGCUCCCCGUCUCGACCUUCUCCAACGCAGCCCCAUCCCGCCAAAGACGAGCCCACCUGCAUCUGCGUCUUCAGCCACGGCCGAAUAGUUCCAAUCAGGUUCAGUUACAGCCGAGUUGGUGAUUCAGAUUUGUUAAGUUCAGAUUCA
Hordeum vulgare subsp. vulgare (domesticated barley) is the source of this 870-nucleotide long non-coding RNA. RefSeq lists it as uncharacterized. The transcript is spliced from 2 exons. NCBI's taxonomy places the organism in Eukaryota, Viridiplantae, Streptophyta, Magnoliopsida, Poales, Poaceae. The record is from RefSeq and is a predicted model, not a curated record.